GAUGAACGCUAGCUACAGGCUUAACACAUGCAAGUCGAGGGGUAACGAGAGGAAAGCUUGCUUUCCUUGUCGACGACCGGCGCACGGGUGAGUAACGCGUAUCCAACCUGCCCCCAACUAGGGAAUAACCUUGCGAAAGUAAGACUAAUACCCUAUAAUUUCCUCAGAUGACAUCUGACGAGGAAUAAAGAUUUAUCGGUUGUGGAUGGGGAUGCGUCUGAUUAGCUUGUUGGCGGGGUAACGGCCCACCAAGGCAACGAUCAGUAGGGGUUCUGAGAGGAAGGUCCCCCAAAUUGGAACUGGGACACGGUCCAAACUACUACGGGAGGCAGCAGUGAGGAAUAUUGGUCAAUGGGCGGAAGCCUGAACCAGCCAAGUAGCGUGCAGGAUGACGGCCCUAUGGGUUGUAAACUGCUUUUAUACAGGAAUAAAGUUAGCCACGUGUGGUUAUUUGUAGGUACUGUAUGAAUAAGGACCGGCUAAUUCCGUGCCAGCCGCCGCUGUAA
Molecule: ribosomal RNA, 506 nt
Filed under: uncultured bacterium
Lineage: Bacteria
Description: partial 16S ribosomal RNA
Rfam family: Bacterial small subunit ribosomal RNA
Source: RNAcentral